CCUUUGCUUUGAGUUAAUUUUAUUCUCUGGAGGACUAGAGACGAGAUCAAUACACCGUGGGGGCUCAUGAGCAACGGUUUGGGGAAUGCAGACCACUCUUCCUUCCCAGUACAUUGAACCUGAGCUAGUUGUCCCUAAAGGAUUCCAUCUGUAAUUAUGAGUUAGGGGUAGGAUAAUCCAGAGGAGCAUGCCAAGUAUAAAAAAUAACUUUUUGCUUUAAAACAUUCCCAGGGAGGCAGCUAGGUGGCUCAGAGAGCCAGGACUGGGGUCAGGACGUCCUGGGAUCAAAUAUGGCUUCAGACACUUCCUAGCUCUGUGACUCUGGACAAGUCACUUAACUCCCAUUGCCUAGCCUUUACCACUUUUCUGCCUUGCAACCAAUACACAGUAUGGAUUCUAAGAUGGAAGGUAAGGGUUUAAAAAAACCAUAACAACAACGACAUUCCAAGACCUGAUAUAGUCUGCCCCUUUAUUUUCUAGGUGAUACUGAAGAUACAAAUGUUGGGGAGACACAAGAUCUGCCUUCAAGGAGUCUAUUAUUAUCUAGCAUUAAAGAAAUGGACAAGCAGCUAUGUCAUAAGCAGCUGAAUGGAGGAUGGAUCAAUGUGGGGAGACAUCUCAAACAGGCAGACCCACCUUCGGGCUCUUGCAAUAAUCCAGGUGUGAGAUGGUGAGGGUCUGCCCUCUGUCAGAGGAGAGAAGAUGUUACAAAGUUUCGUGCCUUGGAAGAUAUAGAAAAGCAAAGGAAGAUAGAGAGAAUCAAGAAAAAAAAAGUGAGGAAAGGUGAUGAGACAUCAGAAAUCUUCACUGCAGCCCAGUUUGGAGGAGAGGUCUGUACCUAAAGUUAUAAGUUUGCUUUAUGGUUCUACAAAACCAUAGCUUGGCAUUCACUUCAUUUUUAU
This 902-nucleotide long non-coding RNA is filed under the name Monodelphis domestica (gray short-tailed opossum). RNAcentral describes it as "lncRNA (ENSMODG00000050504.1)". The record is from RNAcentral. Lineage: Eukaryota; Metazoa; Chordata; Mammalia; Didelphimorphia; Didelphidae.